RNAcentral lists this ribosomal RNA (250 nucleotides) under uncultured bacterium. Its description in RNAcentral is "partial 16S ribosomal RNA". It matches the Rfam family "Bacterial small subunit ribosomal RNA", at positions 524 to 774 of the family's 1533-position model. The record is from RNAcentral.
UACGUAGGUGGCAAGCGUUGUCCGGAAUUAUUGGGCGUAAAGCGCGCGCAGGCGGGAAAGUAAGUCUACUCUAAAAGUGCGGGGCUCAACCCCGUGAGGGGGUGGAAACUGCUAUUCUUGAGUGCCGGAGAGGAAAGCGGAAUUCCCAGUGUAGCGGUGAAAUGCGUAGAUAUUGGGAGGAACACCAGUGGCGAAGGCGGCUUUCUGGACGGUGUCUGACGCUGAGGCGCGAAAGCCAGGGGAGCGAACG